AUUGAACGCUGGCGGCAGGCUUAACACAUGCAAGUCGAGCGGGGUGAUGGUGCUUGCACUAUCACUUAGCGGCGGACGGGUGAGUAAUGUUUAGGAAUCUGCCUAUUAGUGGGGGACAACAUCUCGAAAGGGAUGCUAAUACCGCAUACGUCCUACGGGAGAAAGCAGGGGAUCACUUGUGACCUUGCGCUAAUAGAUGAGCCUAAGUCGGAUUAGCUAGUUGGUGGGGUAAAGGCCUACCAAGGCGACGAUCUGUAGCGGGUCUGAGAGGAUGAUCCGCCACACUGGGACUGAGACACGGCCCAGACUCCUACGGGAGGCAGCAGUGGGGAAUAUUGGACAAUGGGGGGAACCCUGAUCCAGCCAUGCCGCGUGUGUGAAGAAGGCCUUAUGGUUGUAAAGCACUUUAAGCGAGGAGGAGGCUCUUUUGGUUAAUACCCAAGAUGAGUGGACGUUACUCGCAGAAUAAGCACCGGCUAACUCUGUGCCAGCAGCCGCCGCAG
Molecule: ribosomal RNA, 503 nt
Filed under: uncultured bacterium
Lineage: Bacteria
Description: partial 16S ribosomal RNA
Rfam family: Bacterial small subunit ribosomal RNA
Source: RNAcentral